This 497-nucleotide ribosomal RNA is filed under the name uncultured bacterium. RNAcentral describes it as "partial 16S ribosomal RNA". It matches the Rfam family "Bacterial small subunit ribosomal RNA", at positions 28 to 507 of the family's 1533-position model. The record is from RNAcentral.
GACGAACGCUGGCGGCGUGCCUAAUACAUGCAAGUCGAGCGAACAGACGAGGAGCUUGCUCCUCUGACGUUAGCGGCGGACGGGUGAGUAACACGUGGAUAACCUACUUAUAAGACUGGGAUAAUUUCGGGAAACCGGAGCUAAUACUGGAUAAUAUAUUGAACCGCAUGGUUCAUUAGUGAAAGACGGUUUUGCUGUCACUUAUAGAUGGAUCCGCGCCGGAUUAGCUAGUUGGUAAGGUAAAGGCUUACCAAGGCGACGAUGCGUAGCCGACCUGAGAGGGUGGUCGGCCGCACUGGAACGGAGACGCCGUCCAUACUCCUGCGAGAGGCAGCAGUAGGGAAUCUUACGCAAUAGUCGGAAUCCUGACGGAGCAACGCCGCGUGAGUGGUGAAGGUCUUCGGAUCGUAAUGCUCUGUUAUUGGGUAAGAACAAAUUUGUAAGUAACUGUGCACGUCUUGACGGUACCUAGUCAAAAAGCCACGGCUAACUACGUG